Molecule: ribosomal RNA, 699 nt
Filed under: uncultured fungus
Lineage: Eukaryota; Fungi
Description: eukaryotic LSU rRNA
Rfam family: 5.8S ribosomal RNA (bases 244-397)
Source: RNAcentral
UUACUUUAAGUCUUUGGGUAAUGCCGUUAGUAUUCCCUUAGUUAUGCUGGUGCAGCAGCUCUCUGAUGCCAAUCUGAGAGAAACAUUUUGUGAAACGUUCAACGUCUCUGGCGGGGGGGUAGUGAAAAACUACUUGUCAGCAUGGUGCGUAUGCAUUCUGUGCCGUGGACAUCCCGCCAACCCCUUUUUUGACCUACUUUGUAUUUUUGAUGCCUGACAUUUACUGUAUGAAAUAUACAAAACAACUUUUGGCAACGGAUCUCUUGGCUCUCGCAACGAUGAAGAACGCAGCGAAACGCGAUAAGUACUGUGAAUUGCAGAAUUCAGUGAAUCAUCGAAUCUUUGAACGCACAUUGCGCUUCCUGGUAUUCCGGGGAGCAUGCUCGUUUCACAAUCAUUAGAAAACUCACAAUGCCUUGAUGUGUAUGCGCAUGUCAUUGCAGAUGUGGAUAUGAGUGAUUUGUCUUGGCGAAAAGAUAAUCACUUUCAAAAUGAUUGCGUGUGCAUCUCGACUGAUCUACUCAGUUGGUUUUACCCUCAGUGCAACAAAUUUUGUGAUCACUUUCGGUUUACCUGACUGGGCAUUCGAGUGCAUGCCUUCCUCAAUGCACAGGAGCUGAAUGCAAGUUUUGCAUUUUGCUUUUGACAACUUGGUCUGAAAUCGAGCAAGAAAACCCGCUGAACUUAAGCAUAUCAAUA